RNAcentral lists this ribosomal RNA (168 nucleotides) under Marasmius sp. RNAcentral's name for it is "partial large subunit ribosomal RNA". It matches the Rfam family "Eukaryotic large subunit ribosomal RNA", at positions 99 to 260 of the family's 3401-position model. Lineage: Eukaryota; Fungi; Basidiomycota; Agaricomycetes; Agaricales; Marasmiaceae. The record is from RNAcentral.
AGGGAAAAGCUCAAAUUUAAAAUCUGGCAGUCUUUGAUUGUCCGAGUUGUAAUUUAGAGAAGUGCUACCCGCGCUGGACCGUGUAUAAGUCUUCUGGAAUGGAGCAUCAUUGAGGGUGAGAAUCCCGUCUUUGACACGGACUACCAGGGCUUUGUGGUGUGCUCUCGA